This 245-nucleotide ribosomal RNA is filed under the name uncultured bacterium. RNAcentral describes it as "partial small subunit ribosomal RNA". It matches the Rfam family "Bacterial small subunit ribosomal RNA", at positions 26 to 285 of the family's 1533-position model. The record is from RNAcentral.
AGAAUCAACGCUGGCGGCGUGCCUAACACAUGCAAGUCGAACGAGAAAGUGGAGCAAUCCAUGAGUAAAGUGGCGCACGGGUGGUAACACGUGACUAACCUACCCUUGAGUGGGGGAGUAACCUAGAGAAUCUGGGCUAAUACCGCAUAAUACCUUCGGGUCAAAGGAGCAAUUCGCUUAAGGAGGGGGUCGCGGCCGAUUAGUUAGUUGGCGGGGGUAAUGGCCCACCAAGACUAUGAUCGGUA